UUAAUACGUGUAGUUACUUAUAUCUUGUAGUCACAUGCACUCUACCGGAUAGGUAAUGUAAUACACAUUUGAUGUAGAGGUGAAUAGCGUAAGCUGUCAUGCACGAUAGUGAAAGGCAUUGCUGCCACCAUCUGGAAUAAAAGAAUCCUACACAUUUCGAAUGCAAUAUUCAUUUCUCUUAAACUUGUCCUCAGGGCCCCAGCAUGAAUGUGCGGACAAUAGACCACGUUAGCCCUCUUCAUGACGUGUACAUAGAGAGCCAUGUUGCCUGUUCCAGAGCACUGAUAGAUGCUGGAGCCAGCGUCUCUGCAGGGAUGAUUGGUUAAUGUGACAACUGAAGAUGGAGUGUCUCCAUUGCUUAAUUCCAGCUCAGCCGGCCGUUUAGGAUGUCUAGACACUGUGCAAGUAGAUAAACAAACAGCAGUUUUAUGGCAAUCAGUUUAAAACAACCAGCCUAUAAUUAAAGUGCAAAUGUGCAGAGAGGCACACAUUUAGAGAGUCCUCUUCAUGCAGAAGCCCAGAAAGACUGAAUAAGCAUAGUGAAGCUCCUGCUGGAAUUUGGGGCAGAUGUAAAUGCACGCAACCUGGGAGUAUAAGCGGUCCAUGGAGGAUGCUCCUCCAGGGAGCCUUACCGAUGGAUUUCCUAUUGAUUUAUGAAGUGACACCCGUUAUCUGUGUCAACUGUGCCGUCAGCAAAUCAGGGAGAGUUUGGGAUGUUCCCGACUCUACCACAUUAGCCCCUCCCUAAAGCCAUGAAGAACUUUCUACAAUAUAGAUAAUGUUCUUAUGUUUGCUUGGUUUUACUGUACUAAUGACUUACUUUGACUUAUAGCCUAAAUAAUAAAAGCUGUUUUUACCUUU
This is a long non-coding RNA of Carassius auratus (goldfish), 861 nucleotides long. RefSeq lists it as uncharacterized. The record is from RefSeq and is a predicted model, not a curated record. The transcript is spliced from 4 exons. NCBI's taxonomy places the organism in Eukaryota, Metazoa, Chordata, Actinopteri, Cypriniformes, Cyprinidae.